This 253-nucleotide ribosomal RNA is filed under the name uncultured bacterium. RNAcentral's name for it is "partial 16S ribosomal RNA". It matches the Rfam family "Bacterial small subunit ribosomal RNA", at positions 524 to 776 of the family's 1533-position model. The record is from RNAcentral.
UACGGAGGGUGCAAACGUUGCUCGGAAUCAUUGGGCGUAAAGCGCACGUAGGCGGCCCAGCAAGUCGGGUGUGAAAGCCCUCGGCUUAACCUGGAAAGUGCAGAGGGGACUGUUCAGCUAGAGGAUGGGAGAGGAGCGCGGAAUUCCCGGUGUAGCGGUGAAAUGCGUAGAGAUCGGGAGGAAGGCCGGUGGCGAAGGCGGCGCUCUGGAACAUUUCUGACGCUGAGGCUCGAAAGCGUGGGGAGCAAACAGG